GAUGGAGGGGGAGGAGGGGAAGGCGGUAAGGAGGAGGGCGGAGGAGCUGAUGGUGGCGGGAGCGACGGCAUUAGCGGAAGGGGGUUCCUCGUGGAGGGGACUGAAUGAGGUGGCGGAGAAGUGGAAGAAAACUGAGGUUUCUUUUUAGAUAUUUCAUUGUAUGUUUUCUUUAUAUUUAUCUGGUCAGCGGACUGGUGGAAAAGUAGAAGAAACUGAG
This 217-nucleotide unclassified non-coding RNA is filed under the name Hevea brasiliensis (rubber tree). The record is from RNAcentral. Lineage: Eukaryota; Viridiplantae; Streptophyta; Magnoliopsida; Malpighiales; Euphorbiaceae.